CCUACGGGAGGCAGCAGUGAGGAAUAUUGGUCAAUGGAUGCGAGUCUGAACCAGCCCAGUAGCGUGAAGGAUGACUGCCCUAUGGGUUGUACACUUCUUUUAUACAGGAAUAAAACGAGGCACGUGUGCCUUUUUGCAUGUACUUUAUGAAUAAGGAUCGGCUAACGCCGUGCCAGCAGCCGCGGUAAUACGGAGGAUCCGAGCGUUAUCCGGAUUUAUUGGGUUUAAAGGGAGCGUAGAUGGGUUGUUAAGUUAGUUGUGAAAGUUUGAGGCUCAACCGAAAAAUUGCAAUUGAUACUGGCAGACUUGAGUACAGUUGAGGUAGGCGGAAUUCGUGGUGUAGCGGUGAAAUGCGUAGAUAUCACGAAGAACACCGAUUGCGAAGGCAGCUUACUAAACUGUGACUGACAUUGAUGCACGAAAGUGUGGGUAUCAAACAGGAUGAGAUACCCCUGUAGUG
This 460-nucleotide ribosomal RNA is filed under the name uncultured bacterium. RNAcentral describes it as "partial 16S ribosomal RNA". It matches the Rfam family "Bacterial small subunit ribosomal RNA", at positions 338 to 795 of the family's 1533-position model. The record is from RNAcentral.